Non-coding RNA from Rhodospirillales bacterium SCN 65-16, 77 nucleotides. The record is from Rfam. NCBI's taxonomy places the organism in Bacteria, Pseudomonadati, Pseudomonadota, Alphaproteobacteria, Rhodospirillales.
AGAAACGCCCGUGGUGAUUUGAGCCGACCGGCUUGCGACCACGUUAAACAUCGCUAAAAGGUCGGAGUGCUCGCAAA